Molecule: RNA transcript, 1570 nt
Organism: Setaria italica (foxtail millet)
Lineage: Eukaryota; Viridiplantae; Streptophyta; Magnoliopsida; Poales; Poaceae
Gene name: protein FD
Exons: 4
Source: RefSeq, a predicted model, not a curated record
UUAUCAGCUCAGUACUAGUGCUGCUAAAGCUAGCUGAGCUGCACCCGAGUAUCCAAGCAAGAUCAGCGGCAGCUAAAAAGUAGAGAGCACUAGCAAAUACGCAGCUUGGUGUCGUAGUGCAGUGUCGGUGCUUUGUUGGUGCUGUGUUGUCUCCUCCUCCAAUUCGAUCGAUCAUGGCGGCCAACUACCACCACUAUCAGAUGGCCGUGGCGGCGGCGGCGGCGGCGUGGAGGGAGCCGGACAGCCCGCAGCUGAGCUUCGUGAGCGGCUGCAGCUCCCUCUUCUCCAUCUCCACGCUGCAGGACGACGACGACGGCGCCGUCGUCAUCGCCGGCCACGCCCUGCCCUCCACGCCCGUCUCGCUCGCCGGGUUCGCCGGCGACGAGGUCGACAUGGAGGUGCAGCAGGUCAGCGGCGGCAGCGGCGACGACCGGAGGACCAUCAGGAUGAUGAGGAACCGGGAGUCCGCGCUCCGAUCCAGAGCCAGGAAGAGGGCAUACGUUGAAAAUCUGGAGAAAGAGGUUCGCCGGCUGGUGGAUGAGAACUUGAAGCUCAAGAAGCAGUGCAAAGAGCUGAAACUUGAAGUGGCUGCACUGGUCCUCCCUACCAAGAGUUCGCUCCGAAGAACCUCAUCGACGCAAUUCUGAAGGGAUAAAAAAACUUGAACACAUUUUAUUUGGUAGUACAAAACUAAGAGAAGGAAUGAUUGGGCUUGUGUGUACAUGUCAGUGUGUGUUGUGUGCCUUAGGGAAGGGGAGAAAGAUGGAUAAUUGGAUAUGCAAUGAUCUGUACCCUUGACGAUAGACCUCUGCAAAGAUGAAGGUUUACCCUUUGUACCUGGAGCCCAGCCAGGUGUAGAUGCCCUGCCGCACAGACGCUGUGCACCAUUUCAAUGCACCAGCCAUUCAGAUACAUCUCAAAAAGCAGCAUCAACAUCCUUCAAAGUCCGACUGUCAAACUGAAGAUGCUACAGGUCCACCGUGUCCGUGAACAAAAUCAACAUUUUCUGACAAACCACACAGGUGGAUGAAAUGUAUGAUAAUAUCUUGAAUGAUUGACUUACAACUGAUAAACAAUGCACUGCAAAAGAGGUUAAACAGCAUUACCGAAUUACUAUAACUUUGUCUAAAUAGUCUCACAUAAGACCGGCCCAUAACCUUAAUAAACAAGACUUUUACAAAUCUGCCCAUCUUCUACUUAGCUAAGUCCAUGUUGUCCUGAUCUAGAGCUCUGAAACUAGUUCCUUCUGCACUGGUUCCUUGGGCCUCAGAUUCCUGGUGCUUCUGUUCACUAUCACAGGCCUGGUCGUUUCAGGUGACCACGUGUAGCUGCGCAUAACAAAACAGCUGACAUUUAGUAAGCCGUGAAGUCGAGCAGGACCGAGGCCGGCGUCGCGUCCGGGCCUUCGCCGUGGAUUGGCGGAUGCAGGGAGGCGUCCGCCACCAGGCUCCGGUCAUAGUCAUCGUCGUAGGAGACGCAGCUGGCGCCGGCGAGGCGGGUCUCCUGAGGAGGACCUCUCGGUACGACGGACGCGGACGGACGCGGUGGUGAAGCGCAGUCGGACACAGCG